This 316-nucleotide long non-coding RNA is filed under the name Homo sapiens (human). RNAcentral's name for it is "HSALNT0127930". The record is from RNAcentral. Lineage: Eukaryota; Metazoa; Chordata; Mammalia; Primates; Hominidae.
UUUCUACCCUAGUCAGACUUGGUAUUUGUCUUUCUGGAUCAUGCUGGGGUAUGAUUCUCAUUGCGGACAGAAUAACAACAAGAAGACCUUGAGAAUAAGCAUCAAUUUGUGAGCCCCAAGGGCGAAGAAGCUUUCCUGAAGCAACAACAGGAACAGGAAGCAAAAAGGAUUUGAAAUGAAAUAGCAAGGGGAUGGAGAUUUGUUUUCUCAUAGUUGUGGAGGCUUGGAAGUCUAGGAUCAAUGUGCCAGCAACUGGCAUCUGGUGAGGCCCUUCUUGUUGCAUCCUCACAUGACAGAAGAAAGAAGGGCAAACGAG